CGGCGGACGGGUGAGUAACACGUGGAUAACCUACCUAUAAGACUGGGAUAACUUCGGGAAACCGGAGCUAAUACCGGAUAAUAUAUUGAACCGCAUGGUUCAAUGGUAAAAGACGGUUUUGCUGUCACUUAUAGAUGGAUCCGCGCCGCAUUAGCUAGUUGGUAAGGUAACGGCUUACCAAGGCAACGAUGCGUAGCCGACCUGAGAGGGUGAUCGGCCACACUGGAACUGAGACACGGUCCAGACUCCUACGGGAGGCAGCAGAA
RNAcentral lists this ribosomal RNA (266 nucleotides) under uncultured Staphylococcus sp. RNAcentral describes it as "partial 16S ribosomal RNA". It matches the Rfam family "Bacterial small subunit ribosomal RNA", at positions 96 to 354 of the family's 1533-position model. Lineage: Bacteria; Bacillati; Bacillota; Bacilli; Caryophanales; Staphylococcaceae. The record is from RNAcentral.